Molecule: ribosomal RNA, 293 nt
Filed under: uncultured bacterium
Lineage: Bacteria
Description: partial 16S ribosomal RNA
Rfam family: Archaeal small subunit ribosomal RNA
Source: RNAcentral
GUGCCAGCCGCCGCGGUAAUACCGGCAGCCCGAGUGAUGGCCGAUCUUAUUGGGCCUAAAGCGUCCGUAGCUGGCCGCGCAAGUCCAUCGGGAAAUCCACCUGCUCAACAGGUGGGCGCCCGGUGGAAACUGUGCGGCUUGGGACCGGAAGGCGCGACGGGUACGUCCGGGGUAGGAGUGAAAUCCCGUAAUCCUGGACGGACCGCCGAUGGCGAAAGCACGUCGCGAGAACGGAUCCGACAGUGAGGGACGAAAGCCAGGGUCUCGAACCGGAUUAGAAACCCCAGUAGUCC